This 497-nucleotide ribosomal RNA is filed under the name uncultured bacterium. RNAcentral's name for it is "partial 16S ribosomal RNA". It matches the Rfam family "Bacterial small subunit ribosomal RNA", at positions 28 to 507 of the family's 1533-position model. The record is from RNAcentral.
GAUGAACGCUGGCGGCGUGCCUAAUACAUGCAAGUCGAGCGAACAGACGAGGAGCUUGCUCCUCUGACGUUAGCGGCGGACGGGUGAGUAACACGUGGAUAACCUACCUAUAAGACUGGGAUAACUUCGGGAAACCGGAGCUAAUACCGGAUAAUAUAUUGAACCGCAUGGUUCAAUAGUGAAAGACGGUUUUGCUGUCACUUAUAGAUGGAUCCGCGCCGCAUUAGCUAGUUGGUAAGGUAACGGCUUACCAAGGCAACGAUGCGUAGCCGACCUGAGAGGGUGAUCGGCCACUCUGGAACUGAGACACGGUCCAGACUCCUACGGGAGGCAGCAGUAGGGAAUCUUCCGCAAUGGGCGAAAGCUUGACGGAGCAACGCCGCGUGAGUGAUGAAGGUCUUCGGAUCGUAAAACUCUGUUAUUAGGGAAGAACAAAUGUGUAAGUAACUAUGCACGUCUUGACGGUACCUAAUCAGAAAGCCACGGCUAACUACGUG